Molecule: long non-coding RNA, 516 nt
Organism: Gopherus evgoodei (Goodes thornscrub tortoise)
Lineage: Eukaryota; Metazoa; Chordata; Testudines; Testudinidae
Exons: 4
Source: RefSeq, a predicted model, not a curated record
CAUUUAUGCAGUCUGCUAAUGUACUCUUUCAAAAUUUCAGAAACUUCAUCAAACGAUUAACUAGUAAAUCCUCAUCUGAUUGGAACAGUAAAAUUGUGCAGCAUCCCAGACAAAGUGAUGGCCACAACUGCGGACCACUCAUCUGAAAGUUUGCAGAAACGUAUUUGCAGCACAAAGACAUCAGUACGGUGGAAACAACACAGAAGGCUAAUACAGCAUUUAGAAGACAUAUAGCAAUUCUUCUAAUGAAGGAGUCAGAAAGCGUAGAGGACUACUGCAUAUACUGCAACCUUAUCGACUGUGAAAAAGAAAGUGAGGAUUGCACGAUGGUCCAGUGUGAUUCUUGCAAGAGGUGGGCACAUAUACCAUGCAUUACAGAAGGAACCAAUCAAGAAAACCUGACAUAUGAGAAGAAAGAGUACAACUGCAAGACAUGUACAUAGUUCACUUCACUACCAAAAAAAAAGAGGCAAUAAAGAAAACCCAUUGCUUAAAUGCCUCUUGUUCAAAACAUAA